This 73-nucleotide transfer RNA is filed under the name Mycetomoellerius zeteki. RNAcentral describes it as "Trachymyrmex zeteki tRNA". It matches the Rfam family "tRNA". Rfam says of the family: Transfer RNA (tRNA) molecules are approximately 80 nucleotides in length. Their secondary structure includes four short double-helical elements and three loops (D, anti-codon, and T loops). The record is from Rfam by way of RNAcentral. Lineage: Eukaryota; Metazoa; Arthropoda; Insecta; Hymenoptera; Formicidae.
GUCUCGGUGGUCUAAAGGCUUAGGACGCUCGCACGGAAUGCAAGAGAUCCGGGUUCGACUCUCGGCCGAGGCA